RNAcentral lists this ribosomal RNA (253 nucleotides) under uncultured bacterium. RNAcentral's name for it is "partial 16S ribosomal RNA". It matches the Rfam family "Bacterial small subunit ribosomal RNA", at positions 524 to 776 of the family's 1533-position model. The record is from RNAcentral.
UACGGAGGGUGCAAGCGUUAUCCGGAUUCACUGGGUUUAAAGGGUGCGUAGGUGGGCAGGUAAGUCAGUGGUGAAAUCUUUGGGCUUAACCCGAAAACUGCCAUUGAUACUAUUUGUCUUGAAUAUUGUGGAGGUAAGCGGAAUAUGUCAUGUAGCGGUGAAAUGCUUAGAUAUGACAUAGAACACCGAUUGCGAAGGCAGCUUGCUACACGAUCAUUGACACUGAGGCACGAAAGCGUGGGGAUCAAACAGG